AAACCGGUCCUUUUCAGGACCAUCGAAAAUGAUUCCUAAUUGAUUG
Aedes albopictus (Asian tiger mosquito) is the source of this 46-nucleotide non-coding RNA. The record is from Rfam. NCBI's taxonomy places the organism in Eukaryota, Metazoa, Arthropoda, Insecta, Diptera, Culicidae.